AGUCUUAUAUUCAAAAAUGAUUUAAAAUUGCAAAUUUUAAGGGGUAAGUAAUAUUACUAAGGCUU
RNAcentral lists this transfer RNA (65 nucleotides) under Apostictopterus fuliginosus. RNAcentral describes it as "tRNA-Cys". Lineage: Eukaryota; Metazoa; Arthropoda; Insecta; Lepidoptera; Hesperiidae. The record is from RNAcentral.